Papilio xuthus (Asian swallowtail) is the source of this 350-nucleotide long non-coding RNA. RefSeq lists it as uncharacterized. NCBI's taxonomy places the organism in Eukaryota, Metazoa, Arthropoda, Insecta, Lepidoptera, Papilionidae. The transcript has 3 exons. The record is from RefSeq and is a predicted model, not a curated record.
GGGAGAAAGCUCGCGCUGGUGGGGAGCUGCAUUUGCCUCCUCCCAAUGAAUUUCUGCCUGACCGCCUCGAGCUGGAGACAUCGCACGACUCUACCACUGACUCCAUCGCACCCAUCAUACUUAAGGACACGCCCCUGAUGAGGUUGUGGUUCAAACGAGACAAUGAGUUCAAGUUACCUAAAGCGUACCUCACUGUGGACUUCUUCAGCCCGGUGUCGUACGCGGACCCCGAGAGCAGCGCGUUGAUGUCGAUGUGGAUGUUGCUGGUGCGGGACGGGCUGCAGGAGUACGCGUACGCGGCGGACCUCGCCGGACUCAGGUGGCACGUCACUGUCGCCAAGCAGGCGCUC